RNA transcript from Schistocerca gregaria, 4194 nucleotides. It is a transcript of the gene named alpha- and gamma-adaptin-binding protein p34-like, with no coding region annotated. The transcript has 7 exons. The record is from RefSeq and is a predicted model, not a curated record. Lineage: Eukaryota; Metazoa; Arthropoda; Insecta; Orthoptera; Acrididae.
UGCAACUAGCACACAUGCAGAGAUAAUUAUGCAUAUCAUAUUUUGUCAUUUCAUUUCAUAGGAAAUAAAGUAUCAUAGGCAAGCAUAACUUAAACGAAAUCUGCACUAGUCCGGAAUGUGUUGGUGCCGUGACACAAAAUGACACAUACUGUAAGGUAACAGGAGUCAAUAUGUGGUGCGUAUUUCGGCGUUUGGAGUUUGGUACUAUCAUUGCCUGUUGACAGAGUAAUCAAUUUGGAGCGACAGAAUUGCUUUUAUAUUUGUCACUUAAGAAAAGAUUUCGUAAAUAUUUAAACAAUGGAGUCUCGCCCAUGUGCAGUAAUAGCCAGCUGCACUAGCACACACCCAGAAGAUAUAAUAAAAUCAAUUCUGGGUGUAGAGGAUCUUCCAGACUAUACAGAGGUGGAAGAUGGGAUAAAGGCAUAUCCCUGGCAUAUAGAUACAAAGUACUACACAGCAGAUGUAAACCUGUGUGCUGUUGAGAAGAAAACCUUGGGCAGUGAAGAUUUUGCUGUUUCUGUUGAAGCAAUAGUUGUUCACUUUGACAGCAACAGGAGUGAUGGUCUUUCUGCUGUUGAAGGUUGGUUGUCAUUCCUUAAGGAGUUUGAGCCUGAAGUUCAAAUAUUGCUAUGUGAUCGAUGUGAGGAGGAACCCCCUGAAGGACUGGCCAGAGUCACAGUGCAAGAAUGGUGUGUUGAACAAGGCUUUGAAUUGGUGGAACUCAAUCCAGAUCUUGACCCGGAGUGGGAAGCAGAACAAGAUUUCCUGGAGACUACUGGUGUGAAACGUGUUAUCCAAGCUCUACAUGCUCACCUUUGGCCAAAUUUGCACAUGAAAGGUAAGCCCCAGCAGCUAUCUCGAACAGUCCAAUCAAUGUUAGUGGGUAAUGCUCCCACAACACCCACAAAUGGCAACAGUGAUGAGGAUGCAGACCAGGGGUCUACUCUUGAUAACAGUUCUUUCUUUGCAGCUACAUGUACAGAGGAACGAAUAGAUGAGUUACUUGGUGAUAGUGGUGGUGUAGCAGGUUUCUCUUCUUUAUUUGAACAACUGUGUACAAUGAAGGAGCGAGUGUCUAAACUUCCAAGUGACCAAAGAAGAGCUUGUGCUGAACAGGUGUGUUUAUUGGAAAUAAAUGUUUGUUUCAUCAUAUUGUGUUUUCUCUUUUGUGUAUCCACAAUGCAUUAAAACUUGAUGCCAGUCUGAGAUUCAAAUUUGGCAUUCACUUGAAUCUGUCAUUACCAUUUUGUUGUGUACUCCUUUUCCAAUGGGUGCAAGAACUCGAGCAUUGUAGCAAAGCGUUUAGGCACUUUGAAGUGGUAAAGGAGCUGACUGUGGCUCAUUGAAGCCUUGUUUGCAAGAUGUGCAGUUAUCUACUUUACACAAUAUUAUUACUGCUUGCUUCUGCUGAAUAAACACUUAAUUUACUUUAGGUGCACCAUCAGAGUAAAUAAUUCCAAAAUACUACAGGAAGUGAAUAUCUGUAAAUGACGCCAAUAUUCUUGUCUUUAGGUCAACGCUAGGAGAGAUGCUUCUAUCCCAAAAUUGAACUUUUAAUUAUUUUAUCUGUGUUUGAUCCAUUUGUGUUAUUCAGCUGGACAAGGAAUUUGGCAGAGUGUGUUCCAGUUAGUGUGUGGCCAUUAUCUCUGGUUUAAAAUGGCAUAAUAUGAGUCAUUUUGAGACUCUAGUUUACUAGAUAUAAUUUUAUCCAAACAAACACAGGCUUUCGUAAGAUUAUAGAAUGUGUUGACAGAAUAGUUUUUCUAUUUCAGUUCUGCUUGCACUUUUGGGAGGUUUGUACUUGUGAAGAAUCCUUUACGAAGGGCAAGCCAAGAGGCAAUUAACAAGUUCUGGUCAAUUAAAUAUGUCAAUAUUCUGUCAUAGGCUGAUUUAUCAAGCACCUUUGAGAAGCUUGGAAGCAGUGACAUAGAUCUGUAAUUAGAGGUAGUUUGCGUAUCUCUACUUUUGUUGGUGAGUGUUAUAAAAACUUACUGAAGUCUGUCUGAAAAUAUGCCUUGAGUCAUUGAUUGAUUACAAAGAUAGUUUAAGGGUAAUCCUAUCAAGUCAGCUCAAGAUUAUAAUAUUCUGCUAGAAAAACAGUCAGAGCUAGCAGAAUCGCUAUGUUUCAGUGACCUAAUACAUCCUGUAAUAUCCUUAGGGGCUGCAUUUUUAAAAUUAAUAUCUGUUAGUGGUGCAUACAGUGUCUUUAUGAGUAAAUAUAAUGUAUCUGUGUUUGGUUGUCGCUUGGUGGGUGCAAAGUUACUUCCCAAUGUGAGGAAGUAAUCAUAGGAUUUGAAGGCCAGUGAUUUGUAAAUGUCACCAUUUCUGCCACAGAUAUUUUCUGGAAUCAAUAUUAUUAUGAAACGUUACUCAUAUGGUUAGUGUUGGAUCAGUUUUUGGGUUUAAAUAUUUCUCACCAGUUUCCAGAAUAAUGUACUGUUUUCCAAUUUUAGUUCCAUUUGUUAUUGUUCUUUCAGUGAAGAAUAGGCCCCUCAACAUAUAUAUUAUAUCUGGUGUCCAGCAUUUGUAAUUUAUGGAAUUAUAAAAAUUACUUUAUUAUUUUACAGGUUGUAAUGGCAUUUUGGAAAGCAAUAGGUGGAGAUGAUGAUGAGUUAUCAGGUCUUGGUUCAAACUGAAAUAAAUGAGAAGGGACAAGAGUUGAUGUUUCAUCCAAGGAUGUGAUUACUGCAAAUCAUUCUCCGAAUGAAGAACCACGUUUGAUAUGAAAUCGUGAUGUUCCAAAUUUCUUCAGAGAGGAUAUCUUGUGAUUCUUAGCUUUCUCCGAGUAUUAUAUUUAUACCACUUUUGUCAUAUCAGUACUGAUGUGAGGAAGCAGAAAAGUUUUCUAGUCGAUUACAUCUGUAUUAUGAUGUUGAUAGGGCAGUAUAUUAUUGGGAGCAAUAUAAAUCUUUUCUAGGAACUAUACUUUAGUCAUAUGUAAAGGAACUGUGUGAAAACAUUAACACCUGUGUACCAAUCUCCUAUGCCGAAGAGCUAUUGGUGUCUUUGAAUGAAACUUAAUUAAAAUAAAUAUUUGGUAGUUGUUUUCCCAUGUGCUAUCAUCACUGCCUGAGAAACUGAAUAUUUUUCCCAAGCAGUUUUGGACUUGAUAACUUCAUUGAUAUUUGUUUUGUGAUCCAGAGAUAUACCCUCUUGUUUCUUGUACAUAAAAAAGGAUAUUUUUUGUUUUAAUUCAAUACUGAAUUGUAAUGCUCUAGAAUAUCAUAUUCCUAAUGAAAGUAGGAAAUGGAAACUCUUCUCUUUAAUUUGGUAACAUAGAGACCAGUGUAUACAGUAAAUAUCUGGUUUCACAUAGUGUAUUAUUGCUUUUCAUUUUUAAUGCAUUUUUAGAAAAUUUAGCAAACUUAAACAUGAUAUGCAUGUAGUGUAAAAAGAGACAAUUUAUCUUUUGUACCACGUUAUGGGAGGUACAACCUUGUUACUCUGCUGCAGUGAAUUCUGAUGUGUAAUAAAACUGGAAGUGCAUGUGAUCAGCAUGUAAAUAGUUUAUCCUUGAGAAGACAGUUUUGCUUGGAGUAUAUAAUAGCAUGAGCAUUGGGAAGUUAUAUCUGUGCAAUAUUAAUCUGCUGUAGUGUAUGUGACAAGCGUAUCAUGUUGCUGUAUGUUAUAGUCUUAGUUUCAAAGCUAAUUUCAUGAUUCAGAACUUAUCUUGCUCUGUUGUCUCAUUUCAAUUGAAACGCUAUUUUUUGUGAAGGAUACUGUAUGUCUGUCUGGUCAUUGCCAGUCACAUUUUGUAAAAUCAUUGAUUCUAUAAUAUAUCAAUUGGAAAAUGAUCUGUAGAAGUUAUUGUUUGUGUAUAAUGAAAAUAUAAAAUUAAAAACAAAUAUUAUUGAUUAUGAUAUGGACAGAUUCUUAUAGUUAGUCUGUACUUUUGCUAUCCUAGACAUCACUGUAAGAUAUAGCACUUAGUAUGCUGUUACAGUUUUGCCAAAAUGCUAGUGUUAAUGAAUGCCAUUAUGGUCAUCGUAGACAGCUUCUCACAUCUUCGAUUGUGCCAGAAUAAAAGAAGUUUUGUACAUUAGAGCAUCAUGAUACUGUGUUAUUUUGUAUUACCGUUGUUACGUUGUUCUUGCUUUAUGAUGGAAUUUACCUUAGUGUAUGCUGUUUUCAGUGCACUUGGACUUUAUGUAACAUAUUCAUUGGUGCCUCAAGUAGUUUAGGGUACAGCAAUCA